RNAcentral lists this non-coding RNA (30 nucleotides) under Mus musculus (house mouse). The record is from RNAcentral. Lineage: Eukaryota; Metazoa; Chordata; Mammalia; Rodentia; Muridae.
UGUGCACACCUACGAAUGCUUAUCCAUUUC